This 73-nucleotide transfer RNA is filed under the name Candidatus Woesebacteria bacterium RIFCSPHIGHO2_01_FULL_38_9b. RNAcentral's name for it is "tRNA-Met". It matches the Rfam family "tRNA". From Rfam's summary of the family: Transfer RNA (tRNA) molecules are approximately 80 nucleotides in length. Their secondary structure includes four short double-helical elements and three loops (D, anti-codon, and T loops). The record is from RNAcentral. Lineage: Bacteria; Candidatus Woeseibacteriota.
UGCGGGGUAGUGUACGGCAGCACGGAAGGCUCAUAAUCUUCCAGACUAGGUUCGAUUCCUAGCCCCGCAACAA